AUGGCUUCCACCCUCCUUCCAAAGCUUGUGACCACGGAUCUGGCUCCUCCCACCGUUCCUUCCCCUCUCCUGCUUGGAGCCACGUGUGACCACAGAUCUGGCUCUCCUCCACCAGCGGCAGCAGGGAUGGCGCGGAUCCACCUCUUCUCCACAAGCGCCGGCCGAGACGACGUGGAUUCGCAUCUCCUCCUCCCUCCCUGCCAUGGCCGCCUUUAUAUGCUGCGCCCCCGCCUCGCAGCUCUGCCUCUGGACGGAGAUCUGGAGGAGUACCCGCCGCUCACCGUGGCUUCAAUCCUUCUUCCCAACUGGCCCCAGAGGCACAACAUUAAGGGUGCAAGCUCGACUGAUUCAACAGUCUGCCUUGGCGUGAUGGCUCCCCGUCAACAACCAGGAACAAGCCCAGCGCGCCGUCGGCAGCCACCGUAG
This 426-nucleotide ribosomal RNA is filed under the name Triticum aestivum (bread wheat). RNAcentral's name for it is "partial small subunit ribosomal RNA". The record is from RNAcentral. Lineage: Eukaryota; Viridiplantae; Streptophyta; Magnoliopsida; Poales; Poaceae.